This 126-nucleotide transfer-messenger RNA is filed under the name Halioglobus sp. Its description in RNAcentral is "partial transfer-messenger RNA". It matches the Rfam family "transfer-messenger RNA", at positions 245 to 374 of the family's 374-position model. From Rfam's summary of the family: Bacterial tmRNA, also known as 10Sa RNA or SsrA, is named for its dual tRNA and mRNA-like properties. Its role is to liberate the mRNA from a stalled ribosome. To accomplish this part of the tmRNA is used as a reading frame that ends in a translation stop signal. The record is from RNAcentral. Lineage: Bacteria; Pseudomonadati; Pseudomonadota; Gammaproteobacteria; Cellvibrionales; Halieaceae.
CCAGGCUCGCCAACUGCGUCCUGCCCGUUGGGCUGCAGGCGGCUAAAUCAAUAAACGGAAUCUAAGCAUGUAGAGCCGAAGGCAGAGUACUGGCGGACGCGGGUUCAACUCCCGCCGCCUCCACCA